This 259-nucleotide long non-coding RNA is filed under the name Helianthus annuus (common sunflower). Its description in RNAcentral is "sRNA HanXRQr2_Chr03g0115751". Lineage: Eukaryota; Viridiplantae; Streptophyta; Magnoliopsida; Asterales; Asteraceae. The record is from RNAcentral.
GUGUUUAGAAAGUUAGAAAAUAAACUGAUGAAUGUAAACGCGUACGCAAACCAUGUAAUGGGAGCAAAAACGCUAACGUUUGAUAAGCCCGAGACGGGUAUAUCUUGCGAUGCCGGAUGACGAUCAAGCUAAAUAAAGAACCGAACACGAUCAAGAUACAAGCUUCCACACUAUGUUUCAUCGCCAUUUUUAAACGACGAACUCAUACAUAUUAUGUUGUAUUAUUUUAAAUUUGAAAAUGUUUUAAUAAACCCGUAUU